AAGAAAUAAAAGGAGGGAAGGGAAAGUAGUAAGGAGACAUGGGAAGAGAUGGAAAUAUGGAAGUGGUGGAAGAAGAAGGUCUUCAUGUUCUUGCCCACCAAGAUUAUGAUUUUAAAAAUGGGUCACAAGACCAAAGGAGAAGGGCAUGGAUUGGUGAAGCUUUACAAGGAGAUAGAGUCAUGCAGUGGGUAUUCUGAUAUCCAAGUAAUGUGGGAUAUGAUCAACUCCUCUUAUCCUCCUCCCAAACUACACAACAAUCCCAACAGAUGGUUUUCUUGGAAGUUUUGCUUUAGGCCCACUUGAAAGGACGGUCUAGAUUACUCUCUUUUAUCAAUGUUUUGAUCUCCUAAGGUGUUUUAUGUGGCGCCCGAGUGGGCCCACCUAUGAUUACUAGACCAUUGAAUAAGUGAGGGCCACCAGUGAUUGCAAAUGGUUCCAAUAUUGCCCUGAUCGGAUGAACACAACCAUUCAAAUAACUGCCAACAAAAUGGACGGUGAGAUUGGCUUUAUUCUGGCUGUAAAUCUUGCAUGUGCUUAAUUGUAAGGCUGUGAUCAUCCAAUCAUGGUUAUUUUGGGGUCAUGUGCAAUGAACAGUGUAUCCAUCUUAUCCAACAGAUCGAUCCUAGGUGGGCCACUUGGGCCUUACACAGGAAUUCACACCUUAAUAAUGUAGGAAGGAUCCGUACCAGAUCAUAGCUCACCAUUUCCCAUCGUUGAAUCAUUUUUGGCCCAUGAGAUGUAAUUCCUUUGUGUAAAUAUCAUUAUCUUGGUUUUGUGUGAAAUGUGAGGAUACAUGGAUUCUAGAUAGUC
Magnolia sinica is the source of this 810-nucleotide long non-coding RNA. RefSeq lists it as uncharacterized. The transcript is spliced from 2 exons. The record is from RefSeq and is a predicted model, not a curated record. Lineage: Eukaryota; Viridiplantae; Streptophyta; Magnoliopsida; Magnoliales; Magnoliaceae.